RNAcentral lists this ribosomal RNA (497 nucleotides) under uncultured bacterium. RNAcentral's name for it is "partial 16S ribosomal RNA". It matches the Rfam family "Bacterial small subunit ribosomal RNA", at positions 28 to 507 of the family's 1533-position model. The record is from RNAcentral.
GAUGAACGCUGGCGGCGUGCCUAAUACAUGCAAGUCGAGCGAACAGACGAGGAGCUUGCUCCUCUGACGUUAGCGGCGGACGGGUGAGUAACACGUGGAUAACCUACCUAUAAGACUGGGAUAGCUUCGGGAAACCGGAGCUAAUACCGGAUAAUAUAUUGAACCGCAUGGUUCAAUAGUGAAAGACGGUUUUGCUGACACUUAUAGAUGGAUCCGCGCCGCAUUAGCUAGUUGGUAAGGUAACGGCUUACCAAGGCGACGAUGCGUAGCCGACCUGAGAGGGUGAUCAGCCACACUGGAACUGAGACACGGUCCAGACUCCUACGGGAGGCAGCAGUAGGGAAUCUUCCGCAAUGGGCGAAAGCCUGACGGAGCAACGCCGCGUGAGUGAUGAAGGUCUUCGGAUCGUAAAGCUCUGUUAUUAGGGAAGAACAAAUGUGUAAGUAACUAUGCACGUCUUGACGGUACCUAAUCAGAAAGCCACGGCUAACUACGUG